Molecule: ribosomal RNA, 460 nt
Filed under: uncultured bacterium
Lineage: Bacteria
Description: partial 16S ribosomal RNA
Rfam family: Bacterial small subunit ribosomal RNA
Source: RNAcentral
CCUACGGGUGGCAGCAGUGAGGAAUAUUGGUCAAUGGGCGCGAGCCUGAACCAGCCAAGUCGCGUGAAGGAUGACUGCCCUACGGGUUGUAAACUUCUUUUAUAAAGGAAUAAAGUGAGGCACGUGUGCCUUUUUGUAUGUACUUUAUGAAUAAGGAUCGGCUAACUCCGCUCCGUCAGCCGGGCUAUUACGGGGGAUCGGAGGGUUACCCGGAUUUAUUGGGUUUAAAGGGAGCGUAGAUGGGUUGUUAAGUCGGUUGUGAAAGUUUGCGGCUCAACCGUAAAAUUGCAAUUGAUACUGGCAGUCUUGAGUACAGUUGAGGUAGGCGGAAUUCGUGGUGUAGCGGUGAAAUGCUUAGAUAUCACGAAGAACUCCGAUUGCGAAGGCAGCUUACUAAACUGCCACUGACAUUGAUGCUCGAAAGUGUGGGUAUCAAACAGGAUUAGAUACCCCUGUAGUC